UAAAAAAUAAAAAUUAAAUUAAUAUUAAAAAAAUUAAUUAUCCCGGAAAUAAUUUUAAACGGACAAAUUUUUUUAAAGACCGUUUUAAUUUGUAAAAUUUACGAGCCCAAAAUAUUUGCCCACGUAAAAUAAAAUAAAAUAAUACAAAUAAUUAAAAAACGAUAUUUUUGGGAGGGUAUAAAUUAAACCAUUUGGAAAUAUAUUAAAAAUUGUUAUAAUUGCGAGCGAAAUAAAAAUAAAUACGAUAAAACCCCGGGCCUAUUAUAUUCGCUACCGAUACCGAAUUACGUUUGGAAAUAUAUAGCAAUUAAUAGAAAAAAUAUACCCAAAAACAAAUUCGGAUAUAAUUACGUAUGGAUAUUCGUUUGCAAAUUUAAUCGCCUAAUAAUUAUUAUUCCGGACCAAAAAACCAAUAUAAUAAAAAUCCUGGCCUCCCAAUAUUAUUAAUAUUUAUACCGUUUCCUAAAAUUAUUUUUCGUUUGGAUUAGCAAUAACGCCGGGCCGUUUAUUUCCGAAUUUAUAACGACGAUAAAUAAAUUUACGGGUAUUAAAUACCGACACGGUAACGCCCUGCAUUUUUAAAUAUAAGGUACCGUAAAAAUAACCAAUUAAAAAUUGGAUUAAAAAUUACGGUUUUAUAUCGACAAAUACCAAACCAAUUGGAACGUAUAUUUGUUUAUUUUAAAUUUUAUUUAUAACGCCGCGUAAUAUUCCAACUUUAAUAUAUACCCGUUAAAAAUAAUAUUCGGAACCGAACCCCGAAACCCGCUGUCCACCAACCUGCUAACCACGACCGUUAAUUUAAACCAAAAACAAAAAACGUUGCAAAUCGUCCGCCAAAUUAAAAAAAUCCAAAAAUUGGCCCGCCAAAACGCGUUAAAAACGCAGGCGAGGUAAGAAAAACAAAUUAAUAAAAAGCGGCGACCAGUAAAUUUUGGGGUUAACGAUUAUAUUUUUGUCAAAAAAAAAGGGUUUCCGACGACCGUACCGACGACCAAAUUGGAUUUAUAAUGGGCCGAAUUAUAAUAAAUUCGAAAAAAACAAAAAUAUAAUUAUAUUUUGGACGUAUUUAAAUUGUUUAAAAAAAAAAAUUUGUUCCACGCAAACCGUUUCCGCAAAACCGCAAUGGACCUAUUAUUAUAAUAAAAAAAAAACCGCUUCCGCCAAAAAAAAUUAACGGAAAACCAAAAUUUGUAAUCGAUAAAAUUUUAACGUCCCGAUUAUUUGGCCGGAAUAAAAUAUUAUAAUAUUAGGUUAUAUAAUAAAAAUAUAAUCCAAACGAUAUAUAAUAUCCGGUUAAAAAUUUUAAAAAUUUAGCGAUAAUUUUUAACGAUUUCCAUAAAAAAUAUAAAAAUGCCGCAAAACCGCCGAAACAAUUGGUAAUUUGGAUAAAAACCGUUGCCGAAAAUAAGUUGGACGAACCGAAUUAGGAGGAUAAUGUGGCAAAAUAUGGAAAUUUGAACGGUAAAAGGAAAAAUCGACGAUAUGGUUAAUUUAAUAAAAAUUUCGCAUAAUUUCCUGCGUUAAUAUACGAGGUUUGGAAAGGGGUAAUAUAAUAUUUAAAUUAUAAAAUUACCAGACCCUAACCCUAACCCUGGAUUAACGACCCACCAGGGUAAUAUUUUUAUUAACGUCGUUUUAAAUUUAAAAUUUUGUUUGUUUCUUUUCCUUUUUUUAAAAUAGAAUUUUCGUCGAUAAAUACCAAUAAACUAAUUUCCGUAUUAUAUUUACCCCGGGCCGUAAUAAUAAUAAUAUUAUGGGGUUUAAAUUUAAUUUUUCCAAAGACGUUGUUUAAAAACGUAAUAUCGCGGGUUUAACGGGUGGUAUUAUUAUUCCGGGUGGCGAAUUGGUUUUUAAAUUGGGCAAUAAUGGCCAAAAAAUUUUACAAUUGUAAUUAAAUAAUUAUAAUUUGGCCGGUAAUGUUUUUGUUUUUGUUUAUUAUUUCGUUUUUUAUUUGGACGAUAGGCGAGGGCGUUUUAUUUGGAAAUUUCGGAAUUUCGUUCCUGCCGUUUAACGUUUUGGCAAAAAUUUGGUGGGAAGGGUUUCGCGUUUUUCCUAAAUAUUUAAAAAUUAAUUCGUAUUUGUAUAAUCCGUUAAUUUCGAUAUUGUCGAUUGGUUAAUUUUGUUUUAUAUCGGAUUGGGGUUUAACGGGUUUUUCAGGUUUUAUAUUGGCGUUGGUAAAAGCGGGUUUUAUUAGUUUUGGGUUUAUUGGGGCAAUUGUAAUUUUUCCGUUUUAAUCCGAAUUUUCGGUAUUGGGAAUAGCAAUACCGGAAACCAAAUUAUUUGGUUUUGCUAAAUUUGCGUUUGUUACGCGUUGGGAUUGGCGAAUCGGUGGGCCGUAAUUUUUACGCGGCGAUAUUAAUUUCGCGAAUGGUAUUUUUUGUGGCCUAAUUUACCGUCGUGUAUAGCCGACGUGGUGAACGAUUAAAUAAAGAAAUUAAACGAUAUAUUUUAAUUGUUUUAUUAGCAAAUUAUAGCGAAUUUAAAAUUAUAUUACGGCCAGGUAUAUAUUGGAAAAUUUCAAUAUAUUAGGCGCUAUCGACGAAAAUUUUAAAUUAAAGAGAAAAGAGAAAUUACAAUCGACGACGCGUUUAAAAAACGCGUUUAAAUCCGGAGGUAGUGGAUUUUUGUCCAAUUCCUGGCUCGGUGUAAAGCCGAGUCGUGAUUUUGAGGGUAGGUCUAGGGGCCUGAUCCUUAUAUUAAAAAACAAAAUAACAACCGGAGUAACGUUACAAAUAUUAAAAAAAUAAAAAUUUUUUUUUAAAAAUGGAUAAAUUUUUAUUUAUUUUAUAAAUUACAAAACCGCGGAAUUUUCAACCGACGAAUUAUUCCGGCACUAAUUAAAAUAAAUAUAAAACCAAUUCCAAACUAUAAACGAAAAAAAAAAUUUAUACCAGAUUUUUUAUUAAUAGAAAAUAAACGAAAUUUAAUAUAAAAUUAUUUUUAAUAUAAAAAUAAUUAUAGUUUUUACGGCCGGAAUAGGGUAAAUUAAAAUAUUGCAACGCCGAAAACCGAAUAUUUAUAUUAAUAAAACCAGCCCAAAUAAAAUUACGGUGCGUUUUGGAACAGGAAAAGAUAUUACGGUAAUGGGAAAAAUAACGCUAAAUACCCAGGUCGGCGAAAUUACGUUCCACAUAAUAUUAAUAAAUAUACCAUUUUUAUUAUAUAUUUAAAAUAUAAAU
This 3182-nucleotide small RNA is filed under the name Pyricularia oryzae. RNAcentral's name for it is "Magnaporthe oryzae sRNA M_BR32_EuGene_00132871". The record is from RNAcentral. Lineage: Eukaryota; Fungi; Ascomycota; Sordariomycetes; Magnaporthales; Pyriculariaceae.